Amphimedon queenslandica is the source of this 466-nucleotide long non-coding RNA. RefSeq lists it as uncharacterized. NCBI's taxonomy places the organism in Eukaryota, Metazoa, Porifera, Demospongiae, Haplosclerida, Niphatidae. The transcript has 4 exons. The record is from RefSeq and is a predicted model, not a curated record.
CUCCUUUCUUCCUCCUCUCGUAAGGAAUAGUAGCUCCAAGAGUGAUACGUUUUAUCCAGCCAGACAUGGAAGCUUUAGCCAGGCUCAACCAAACCUCUACAAUCCUUUCAUGGAGGACUCCCACCACUGAGCCUCAGUGACUAUAGUGACCUCCUGUAAACUACCAAACGAGGUGACUCCACUAGUUGAGGCAGUUAUUCUUGUUCUCUCCUUCAUCUGGUCUCUACUCUUGUCCUCUUCCUAUGACUGAUGGAGGAGCUAGACUAAUUGAAGAAUAAGAUGGAAAAUCACGCUAGUAAGGCUGUGGGCCUUUGGUGAAGUGGGCCAUUGCUCAGAACUAAGAACCCUGUCAGGAAACACUCUCAUUAUUUCAUACUCAAUCCCUCUAGGAUGUUGACAUACGACCCAAUCCUGAACCCUGUCCUAUCCUAGACGACAACAGGUAUCCCCAAUUCUAAUUAUACAU